GGGAACUACGAGCAUAAGCUUAAAACCCAAAGGACUUGGCGGUGCUUUAGAUCCCCCUAGAGGAGCCUGUUCUAGAACCGAUAACCCCCGUUUAACCUCAUCCACUCUUGUCCUUCCCGCCUAUAUACCGCCGUCGUCAGCAUACCCUGUGAAGGUAUCAUAGUAAGCAAAAUUGGCAUAGCCCAAAACGCCAGGUCGAGGUGUAGCAAAUGAAUGGAGAAGAAAUGGGCUACAUUUCCUCUAUUAGGAAAUACGGACUAUACUUUGAAACAAGUAUAUGAAGGAGGAUUUAGCAGUAAGCGGAAAAUAGAGCGUUCCACUGAACCCGGCCCUGAAGCGCGCACACACCGCCCGUCACUCUCCCCAAGCCACUAAUCCUAAUACCUAAAAAACUAAAUGAGGCAAAGGGGAGGCAAGUCGUAACAUGGUAAGUGUACCGGAAGGUGCACUUGGAAAAAU
RNAcentral lists this ribosomal RNA (459 nucleotides) under Anableps anableps (largescale foureyes). RNAcentral's name for it is "partial 12S ribosomal RNA". It matches the Rfam family "Bacterial small subunit ribosomal RNA", at positions 875 to 1533 of the family's 1533-position model. The record is from RNAcentral. Lineage: Eukaryota; Metazoa; Chordata; Actinopteri; Cyprinodontiformes; Anablepidae.